Molecule: ribosomal RNA, 525 nt
Filed under: Palaemon northropi
Lineage: Eukaryota; Metazoa; Arthropoda; Malacostraca; Decapoda; Palaemonidae
Description: partial 16S ribosomal RNA
Rfam family: Bacterial large subunit ribosomal RNA
Source: RNAcentral
UAUGAUUUAAAUGUAAAGUAUAGCCUGCCCACUGAGUUUUAAAGGGCUGCGGUAAUUUGACCGUGCAAAGGUAGCAUAAUCAGUAGUCUUCUAAUUGAAGGCUUGUAUGAAUGGUUGGAUGAAAGAAAAACUGUCUUUUUUAUAAUUUAAAAUUUGACUUUUAAGUGAAAAGGCUUAAAUUUAAUAAGGGGACGAUAAGACCCUAUAAAACUUUAUACUCUUUUACUUUUACUGUGAAUUUUAAGUAAAUAUGGGUAAGUGUAGUGAGUAUUUUAUUGGGGAGAUAUCGAUAUAAGUUAUAACUGUCUGAGGAAAUAAAAUAAUCAUAGUUAUAUUUUGACCCUUCUUUGUGGGUAAAAAGAAUAAGUUACUUUAGGGAUACACAGCGUGAUUUUCUCAGAGAGUUCCUAUCGAAGAGAGUAGUUGCGACCUCGAUGUUGAAUUAAAAUUUCGGCUAGGUGUAGGCGCUUGGUUGGUGGGUCUGUUCGACCUUUAAAAUUUUACAUGAUUUGAGUUCAAACCGGU